RNAcentral lists this microRNA precursor (78 nucleotides) under Schistosoma margrebowiei. RNAcentral's name for it is "mir-3492 microRNA precursor family". It matches the Rfam family "mir-3492 microRNA precursor family". The record is from Rfam by way of RNAcentral. Lineage: Eukaryota; Metazoa; Platyhelminthes; Trematoda; Strigeidida; Schistosomatidae.
AGUUUUCUGUAUCCGUGCUGAGAUUUCGUCAAACACUAGACUACAAAGGCUGAUGAGACUUCCAAGAUAGGUGAAGCG